Long non-coding RNA from Anopheles arabiensis, 709 nucleotides. RefSeq lists it as uncharacterized. The record is from RefSeq and is a predicted model, not a curated record. Lineage: Eukaryota; Metazoa; Arthropoda; Insecta; Diptera; Culicidae. The transcript is spliced from 4 exons.
GUCGUGUUGAAAGGAACGUAUGGAAGUGAAACCUAGAGGACUUGGAGAAACAGUUUGGCCGAAGAAUAGUUCCUCACGAAUAAAAUUAAGUAACGCUUACGCUAUCUAAAGUCGACUAACCCGCACAGAAGCAGGUCUACAUUGAAGAUGCAUCCAAGACGCACCAGUCGGCAAACUCCUCUCCCGCUGCAAAAACUUCUGCCGGCUUCAGAGAGACAUUACAGAAACCCAUGUCCGGCCGCUUCCGCCGGCGAGCAGCGUUACCACAUCGCCCUUGUGCACCGAAACCGCAUCCGAGCAGUAGUUCUCCGUGAUGGCAAGCAGUGUCUGCCGAACGGCGGCCGCAGCGGCGGCUCCCGCUGUGCAAACUCCACUCCCAGGCACUGAUAACGUCCCAUUUCCGUUGGUCGUACCGAAUCCACCUGUUGCUAGACAGCAUCAAACACAACGGCCACUCGUUCAACAUCCAACCAACUCUGCUGUCUAGAGACGACCAACAAAGCGUAUGCAAUGAGCGCUAUCGCCGGUAUCUACGUCACUCGAUCUGUCCCAUUUCAUGUCAACGCCGGUACGGCAGCAUAACAGUGAGGAGUGAAACGAAACCCGGGCCAUAGGCAAACGCUCCCGCAGCAGCAUAACAACCUUACCCUCAACCGCCCCCAGACCACGGCAACUAAAACAAAAGAUUAAACCCGAUCCUGCCCGAUGA